CAAAAUAAGCAUAAGCAAAAGGAUCAUGCAAAAGCGAAAGUCAAAUAGAGUGAGCACGGACAUGAUCUCUCCGGUCAGCACGGACAUGGUCCCUCCGUUCACCACGGACGUUGUCCCUCCGUUCACCACGCACGUUGUCCCUCCGUUCACCACGCACGUUGUCCCUCCGUUCACCACGCACGUUGUCCCUCCGGUCACCACGCACGUUGUCCCUCCGGUCACCACGCACGU
RNAcentral lists this long non-coding RNA (231 nucleotides) under Cucumis sativus (cucumber). RNAcentral's name for it is "long non-coding RNA (CSAT_LNC001984)". Lineage: Eukaryota; Viridiplantae; Streptophyta; Magnoliopsida; Cucurbitales; Cucurbitaceae. The record is from RNAcentral.